Molecule: ribosomal RNA, 465 nt
Filed under: uncultured bacterium
Lineage: Bacteria
Description: bacterial SSU rRNA
Rfam family: Bacterial small subunit ribosomal RNA
Source: RNAcentral
CCUACGGGUUGCACCAGUGGGGAAUAUUGCACAAUGGGCGCAAGCCUGAUGCAGCCAUGCCGCGUGUAUGAAGAAGGCCUUCGGGUUGCGAAGUACUUUCAGCGGGGAGGAAGGUGUUGAGGUUAAUAACCUCGGCAAUUGACGUUACCCGCAGAAGAAGCACCGGCUAACUCCGUGCCAGCAGCCGCGGUAAUACGGAGGGUGCAAGCGUUAAUCGGAAUUACUGGGCGUAAAGCGCACGCAGGCGGUCUGUCAAGUCGGAUGUGAAAUCCCCGGGCUCAACCUGGGAACUGCAUUCGAAACUGGCAGGCUAGAGUCUUGUAGAGGGGGGUAGAAUUCCAGGUGUAGCGGUGAAAUGCGUAGAGAUCUGGAGGAAUACCGGUGGCGAAGGCGGCCCCCUGGACGAAGACUGACGCUCAGGUGCGAAAGCGUGGGGAGCAAACAGGAUUAGAUACCCGCGUAGUC